RNAcentral lists this long non-coding RNA (1088 nucleotides) under Canis lupus familiaris (dog). RNAcentral's name for it is "lncRNA (ENSCAFG00845008261.1)". Lineage: Eukaryota; Metazoa; Chordata; Mammalia; Carnivora; Canidae. The record is from RNAcentral.
CAGGACUGGGGACGGAUGUGGACUGACCUGACCAGCCGGACCUCAUGCUGGGAGCUAUCAUUCCAUGAAUGUGAUCAAAGAUGGGGGUUUGGGUAACCUGACUCACAUACUCCCCUUACUUUUUUUUUUUUUAGAGGUUCUAUUUAUUUAUUCAUGAGAGACAGAGAAAGAGAGAGAGAGAGAGAGAGAGAGAGAGAGGCAGAGACACAGGCAGAGGGAGAAGCAGGCUCCAUGCAGGGAACCCGAUGUGGGACUGGAUCUCGGGUCUCCAGGAUCAGGCCUCAGGCCGAAGGCAGCGCUAAACUGCUGAGCACCCCCGGGGCUGCCCGCGCACUCCCCUUUCGUCUCUCCCAGAAUGAAUUCCUCUACCAAAAUGUGGGAAUGACAAGUUCCACCUCCCACUGGAUCAUGGGAACAGUGGGUGUCUCACACUGCUCUACUGCAUCUGCCCAAACUGGCAAAGUGGCUGUCCCCGAAAGUGCCAAGGCUGUCCGGUCUCCCAGCAAACGCCUCGGACUGAUGCGGAGCCAUUUAUAGCAAGAAGUGGUGAGAGGUAACUUAUUCUGCUGUGGAAGGAGCCAGAGCCCAGGGCUCCUCCCAGGGAGAGCUUCACACUCCACAACAGGGUGGGGAGCUACUUUCCCACGCCCCUUCGCUCGCCUGCUGAAGCCGCACGCGAGCGCCAGGCUCCCAGCGCACACUGAGUCAGCACCCUGGAGAGCUGCCCCGCCCCUCCCUGACCAGUGAGGUCAGCACAGAUGCUGCACCCCCCCCCCCCCCCAGGAGGAGUGGCAACUGCAGCCACUGGGCAAAGCUCCCAAGAGCUGAGUUAAAGGAACACCCCUGAAGGCUGUGGAAAGCUCCAGAACCCAAGAAGCGCAGGGAACAGGAUUCCAAAGAGCAUGUUUGCCGACAAAAUCUCAUCGUAGGGGACGCCUGGGGGGCUCAGAUUGGGUUUUCUGCGGUUUGAGUGUUGAGCAGUUGAGCGUCUGCCUUCAGCUCGGGGCAUGAUCCCAGGUCCUGGGUUAGAGUUCCAGGCCGGGCCUCCUGCGAGGACACCGCUUCUCCCUCCCUCUGCCUGUGUCUCU